Molecule: long non-coding RNA, 588 nt
Organism: Magallana angulata
Lineage: Eukaryota; Metazoa; Mollusca; Bivalvia; Ostreida; Ostreidae
Exons: 3
Source: RefSeq, a predicted model, not a curated record
GUGUCUAUAGUCUUUUUAAACAGAUUAAAUGAUGCUAGCCAAUGCAAAUUUAAUUCGUCUGAGUUAUUUUUCAGCAGACCAUUUAUUGUACAUGGAUUGCGCAGCUUGAUCGAAAGAGUGAUUCGGAUCAAAUACUGCCUCCCAUACUUUUCAGCCAUCCUUGCAGAGGAGUUCCGCAGUCUUCUUUUAAGCCUGAAUUGGUCUCGUGCAAUGAGGUUGAUGUAAAAGAAGGUUUGCGUCACACAACCUGAGACUACAUCCACUGUCAACAGUGUCAGCAUCUGGAGGAUUUUCAUUUUUUUGCCUCCUCUGUCUUCGGAGAUGGUGGCACCAGGGCGUCGGAGUCAUUUUGUCACUUUAUAACGCUGACAGAGAGUCCGUAUCCAUCUGAUCCAUCAUGACAGAUAGUUUUCUUCAUGAUGCAGCAUUUGCAGAGGGAGAGAGCCUGAUACUCAGACGAGCACAGCAUAAAUAUAAAUCAAGAUCCAGGACUCAAGUUUCAUACACAAUUAGAGGUAUGUAUAAGGUUCAUGAAAAACACAAAUUUGCCUAAUUCUGAGGUGAGUAAAAUUAUGAGUAUAGGAAUGA